UGGGGAAUAUUGGACAAUGGGCGCAAGCCUGAUCCAGCAAUGCCGCGUGUGUGAAGAAGGCCUGCGGGUUGUAAAGCACUUUAAGCAGGAAAGAAGGGCGAGAGGAUAAUACCCUCUUGCAUUGACGUUACCUGCAGAAUAAGCACCGGCUAACUCCGUGCCAGCAGCCGCGGUAAUACGGAGGGUGCGAGCGUUAAUCGGAAUUACUGGGCGUAAAGCGCGCGUAGGCGGUUUGAUAAGUCUGAUGUGAAAGCCCUGGGCUUAACCUGGGAACUGCAUUGGAUACUGUCAGACUCGAGUGUGGUAGAGGGUAGUGGAAUUUCCGGUGUAGCAGUGAAAUGCGUAGAGAUCGGAAGGAACACCAGUGGCGAAGGCGGCUACCUGGACCAACACUGACGCUGAGGUGCGAAAGCGUGGGGAGCAAACAGG
Molecule: ribosomal RNA, 429 nt
Filed under: uncultured bacterium
Lineage: Bacteria
Also listed under: 1 other name
Description: partial 16S ribosomal RNA
Rfam family: Bacterial small subunit ribosomal RNA
Source: RNAcentral